ACACGGUCCAGACUCCUACGGGAGGCAGCAGUGGGGAAUAUUGGACAAUGGGCGAAAGCCUGAUCCAGCCAUGCCGCGUGUGUGAAGAAGGUCUUCGGAUUGUAAAGCACUUUAAGUUGGGAGGAAGGGCAUUAACCUAAUACGUUGGUGUCUUGACGUUACCGACAGAAUAAGCACCGGCUAACUCUGUGCCAGCAGCCGCGGUAAUACAGAGGGUGCAAGCGUUAAUCGGAAUUACUGGGCGUAAAGCGCGCGUAGGUGGUUCGUUAAGUUGGAUGUGAAAUCCCCGGGCUCAACCUGGGAACUGCAUUCAAAACUGACGAGCUAGAGUAUGGUAGAGGGUGGUGGAAUUUCCUGUGUAGCGGUGAAAUGCGUAGAUAUAGAAAGGAACACCAGUGGCGAAGGCGACCACCUGGACUGAUACUGACACUGANGUGCGAAGGCGUGGGGAGCAAACAGGAUUAGAUACCCUGGU
Molecule: ribosomal RNA, 475 nt
Filed under: uncultured Gammaproteobacteria bacterium
Lineage: Bacteria; Pseudomonadati; Pseudomonadota; Gammaproteobacteria
Description: bacterial SSU rRNA
Rfam family: Bacterial small subunit ribosomal RNA
Source: RNAcentral